This 253-nucleotide ribosomal RNA is filed under the name uncultured bacterium. RNAcentral describes it as "partial 16S ribosomal RNA". It matches the Rfam family "Bacterial small subunit ribosomal RNA", at positions 524 to 776 of the family's 1533-position model. The record is from RNAcentral.
GACAGAGGGUGCGAACGUUGCUCGGAAUUACUGGGCGUAAAGCGCGUGUAGGCGGGCGCUCAAGUCAGGUGUGAAAUCCCUGGGCUCAACCCAGGAACUGCAUCUGAAACUGGGUGCCUUGAGUGUCGGAGAGGGAAGCGGAAUUCUCGGUGUAGAGGUGAAAUUCGUAGAUAUCGGGAGGAACACCGGUGGCGAAGGCGGCUUCCUGGACGAUUACUGACGCUGAGACGCGAAAGCGUGGGGAGCAAACAGG